RNAcentral lists this ribosomal RNA (493 nucleotides) under uncultured bacterium. Its description in RNAcentral is "partial 16S ribosomal RNA". It matches the Rfam family "Bacterial small subunit ribosomal RNA", at positions 30 to 523 of the family's 1533-position model. The record is from RNAcentral.
AUUGAACGCUGGCGGCAUGCCUUACACAUGCAAGUCGAACGGUAACAGGUUAAGCUGACGAGUGGCGAACGGGUGAGUAAUAUAUCGGAACGUGCCCAGUCGUGGGGGAUAACGUAGCGAAAGCUACGCUAAUACCGCAUACGAUCUACGGAUGAAAGCGGGGGAUCGCAAGACCUCGCGCGAUUGGAGCGGCCGAUAUCAGAUUAGGUUGUUGGUGAGGUAAAAGCUCACCAAGCCUGCGAUCUGUAGCUGGUCUGAGAGGACGACCAGCCACACUAGAACUGGGACACGGUCACGACUCCUACGGGAGGCAGAAGUGGGGAAUUUUGGACAAUGGACGCAAGUCUGAUCCAGCAAUGCCGCGUGCAGGACGAAGGCCUUCGGGUUGUAAACGGCUUUUGUACGGAACGAAACGGUGAGCUCUAAUACAGUGUGCUAAUGACGGUACCGUAAGAAUAAGCACCGGCUAACUACGUGCCAGCAGCCGCGGUAA